This 342-nucleotide ribosomal RNA is filed under the name uncultured bacterium. RNAcentral's name for it is "bacterial SSU rRNA". It matches the Rfam family "Bacterial small subunit ribosomal RNA", at positions 29 to 399 of the family's 1533-position model. The record is from RNAcentral.
AAUGAACGCUGGCGGCAGGCCUAAAACAUGCAAGUCGAACGCUGUAGCAAUACAGAGUGGCGCACGGGUGAGUAACAUGUGGGAAUAUGCCUUUUGGUACGGAACAACGUUUGGAAACGAACGCUAAUGCCGUAUGGUCCCUUCGGGUAAAGAUUUAUCGCCAAAGAUUAGCCCGCACUGGAUUAGCUAGUUGGUAGGGUAAUGGCCUACCAAGGCGACGAUCCAUAGCGGUCUGAGAGGACGAUCAGCCACACUGGGGACUGAGACACGGCCCAGACUCCCUACGGGAGGCAGCAGUUAGGAAUAUUGGACAAUGGGCGCAAGCCUGAUCCAGCCAUGCCG